ACACCGAUGGUGAAGUGGUUAUCAUGCUUGCCUUCCAUGAGUUAGCAAGCGGCAGGGGUUCGAUUCCCCUUCGGUGUA
RNAcentral lists this transfer RNA (78 nucleotides) under Hypsizygus marmoreus. It matches the Rfam family "tRNA". From Rfam's summary of the family: Transfer RNA (tRNA) molecules are approximately 80 nucleotides in length. Their secondary structure includes four short double-helical elements and three loops (D, anti-codon, and T loops). The record is from Rfam by way of RNAcentral. Lineage: Eukaryota; Fungi; Basidiomycota; Agaricomycetes; Agaricales; Lyophyllaceae.